This 1584-nucleotide long non-coding RNA is filed under the name Salvia miltiorrhiza (redroot sage). RNAcentral's name for it is "long non-coding RNA (SMIL_LNC007361)". The record is from RNAcentral. Lineage: Eukaryota; Viridiplantae; Streptophyta; Magnoliopsida; Lamiales; Lamiaceae.
GUGAAGAUGCCUUAUGGUAGGACUCAAGCUGGCGCCCAAUCUUCUGUGCCGUAAGCCAUAGAUCACUAGUCUCAUCAGCAGUGAGAUCAAUGAAGCGCUUAACAUCACGUCUUGGGCAGACAAGCACGUGUAUGUUGUGUCAAGUCAACCAAAUAAGAGAAAUACAAAUAUGGCAAGGCACUGUCUUAGUAUAUACAUAUAUGUGUGUGUGUGUAUCUUUAUUCUAAUCUUUCUCGUGUUUAUCAAGCAUGGUGUUGAUAUUCAAGCAAAUCAAAGUACAUAAGUUUCUUGAAUCUUGAUAAUGAGGCACGCACUUUCAAGGCCAAGAGAACCUACCAAAGUUGAGAAGUGGAGAAGCUAGGGGUUCAAGGAUGUUGGUGCCAUUUAUUCUAGAUGCAUUUUUAAGCAUGCAUAACACGAUCACACAAAAUUUUCCAGUGAAGACAGCCAUAGAAGUAUGGGCAGAUUAAAGGAUAUGACCUGUAACAGAAAUCAAAAAACAAAAUAUAGUCAACAGGACAUAACUGCAGAAGAUAUAAGGCGCUAUGGAAUUGGUAAAAUACAUCAAUAUUUUUCCUAAAAUAUUAAACCUUCAUCUCCAUUUUUCUCUGCUUUGCUAUAGCAUAAACAAUCGCGUGAUACACAUGAGUUAGCAUCAAAGAUUAUAAUCCAAGAACAGCUCAACAAAUGAGCAAAUGAAAUUCAAAGUGAGAAUCAUAAAGUUGAGCUCCAAAUUCAUGCGAAACGUACCCCAAAACAAUUUUUUAAUACUAAUGAGAAGGAGUUUCCAUGUAAAUAAAAUUCCAACUGCAGCUCCCGCACCUAUUAACUUAGCUCCUUCUAACAUUUCUUCGUCUUAUUGAUUCUUUUCACGCUUCAUUGAUUAUUAUAUGGAGUAAUUCUAAAUUCAAUUUAUCUUCUCUUACGAGAAUUUCCUGCAGAAAUCUUCACAUAGCAAAAAUAUCCGAAAUCGGAAUUUGGAAAUGCAUACCGGGAAGAAGAGGCCGCAAAUUGACCAUAGCGUACGAGGAUUGAGUGGAGUAGAAUACUUCUUUGGGGUCGAUUUUGUACGGACCAAAUGCAAAACUCUCAGAUUCCAUCUGCGAUUUUUAGUUUUUCAAUUUACACAAAAUAAAAAAUAAAAAAGAUCAACGAAAGAUACAAUCGCCGCACGAUAAUCCCGUCUCAAUACGUAAUUAGGGCGUAAUUUAAUAGAAUAAGGCUUCGAUAUUACUUGCCCUAUGAGCGCUGUGAGUGAAGCAGUAGUUUCCGGCUGAGGGUGAAAAGGGCGGGAGCGGAGGCGAGUAAUGGCGGAGGAAGAGGCCGCGCGUGGAGGGGUGUAGGUAGAGAAACGCGGUUGGAAUACGACGGGAAGUGAGGAAGGCGAAACUUAACAUCAGCGCGCAGUUCNGAAUUUCCUGCAGAAAUCUUCACAUAGCAAAAUUAUCCGAAAUCGGAAUUUGGAAAUGCAUACCGGGAAGAAGAGGGCGCAAAUUGACCAUAGCGUACGAGGAUUGAGUGGAGUAGAAUACUUCUUUGGGGUCGAUUUUGUACGGACCAAAUGCAAAACUCUCAGAUUCCAUC